This is a long non-coding RNA of Oreochromis aureus, 3700 nucleotides long. Lineage: Eukaryota; Metazoa; Chordata; Actinopteri; Cichliformes; Cichlidae. The record is from Ensembl.
CACAGAUAAUGUCAAUCUUUAAUGGCAGAUGGCCUGAAAUGUCUUCAUUUAACAUUUUCAUAAAAACGUCUCAUUUUGAUCAUCUCCUUUUUUUUGUUUCAAACAAACAAACCUCUGCAAUUCACUGAAAUACAGUUUCUCCUUACAGCGGCUAAAGUACAUAAAUAUCAACAGUACUGUAUGCAUUAGGAAAAAGGAAAAAGAAGAACACGCACACACACAUGCCGUGAACAUGCACUGAACACACAGCUACACACGCGGUAUACUGAAACAAGUAAAGAAAUGAUUUGUCACUGACAAAAGGAGGGGGGGGGGGUCGUCUUAUUCGUUUUUUCAGGAACUUCUGUACCGUACCGCUGGCGAAACACAAAAGGCCCAUUCGUUCGAGGAGUAUAUCUUCUUCUCUGGAUUUCACAGUGAAUUAUGCAGGUAAAACAGUAUUCACAUGUUACAUACAGUAUGCUCCAAUCAGACCGAUACAAACGAAGAAAAAAGCUCUAGAAAUUUUUACCAAAUGAAAAUACAAUAAAACUUACAAUAAUACUUACAUUGAAUUAUAUGAUGGGCAUUUUCUAUGAACCUUAAAAAGACAACACCCAUUAAAAAACACACACAACAUUCACGCACGUUGUAUAAAUACUUGUUCUAAUAAAUCUGAGUGCCACACUUGGCUUAAAAAUGUCUGUAAAAGCAAAAAUAAAAACCAAAAAAAAACAAAACCUUCAGCUGAUUUAAUAGAUAUGAUGCAUAUUAUCAUUAAUUACAAACACUUGACUACUGUAUGAUUCAACCAGUCCGAUAUAAUUGUACACAAAGGGGCUAAACAUCACAGGGGACGCUCGUCUCCUCACGCCGUUUGAUUGUCACAUCGGCGUGAAAUGCGACUUGGCCUUCGGAGACUGGUUUCGUAUUAACGAAUGAAGAUUUUGGCGUCAAGAUGUCACAGAAAUAUGAUCACUCGAUGAUAUGUCAUACAGCAAAGACGUUAUUGCAAGAUUACAAAAGAUUGUUUUGUUUUUUAUCUUUUCUUUUUUUAUACAUCUCACUCCAAUCAUUAUUAUGUAAAUUCAAACUUUACAAAAGCAGGUUGAAUCACACCGGCUCCCUAAAAAUAGACAAAAGACACAAAUCGCUUAAAGUGAAUAUCCUUUCAGAUGCAGAGUGGCUCUUUGGAGUGACACCAAAAGGGACAUGCUGCAAAAAUAAUGUCAUACUUCAUAAGAAAUCAGACUGACUACAAAAGUAGUCAAAAAUGGAAUAAACCACUAGCCUAGAUAGCUCUCCAGUGUAAAAAAAAAAGAGGAAAAAAAAGCCUUUGGUCUUGUUUCUCUAUACUGUGCUGCUGUCCUCCUGCUACACAGCGAAGGAGCGAUUUCCUAAUUAUAGCAGGGCUCAGUUUGCCAAGUAUUGCCAUCACGCUAUACGUGACAUUGGGGUCACGCUACCUUCCACCGGCGAUGGCUUUUUCCUGUCAGUGCCUCUUUUCACACAUCUGAUUACCUCAAACAGCCAAACUACGAGCCGGAUCAGGUGCGUUUUGUCACUCAACGUUAAAUCGCUUCAGACAAAAGACUUCUGUGUUUCGGGUAAAGACGCCACAGACGGACAAAAAAAAAGGACACAUGAGCGAAUCAAAAUUCCUUUUGGAGCAGAGACAAUAGCAAACUGGCAGGACUGCUUUGGUAUAGCAGGGCGACUUGUUGUUUUAAAAUGGCACCGAACAGAAAGGGAACAAAAAAAGAAAAGGUAUAAAACGUCCUCACACGAUUUAGCACAACAUAAAUCAACCCAAACAAAACCGUUUCAAACAUCGUCUUGAUUACAAAAAUACCUUUUUGUAUUUCUUUAAAAUAUCUAAAAAUGUACAGCAUUGUUUUUUCGUUGUUUUCUCUCUCACGCUCUUUUUUUUUUUUUUUUUUUUGCAAAGUCAUGCUUCAACAUGUAAUUUCAUAAUCAUAAUAACAUUAAUAUGAAUGAUAUACAGAAUAGUAAUAAUUAUAGUCAUAUAAUAACAUUACUCAGUAGCACUUUAGCCACACUUCCGGGCGUCUGCAAAGUGGUUGCAUAAAACAACGUUUGCACUCCUUUUAGGUGGUCGGCUUUACACCCGCAUGUAGAGGAUGCAGAGCGAGAGACCAGCUAGGCGGGCGAUGCAGUCAGUCGGUAAACAAAGAGCGCGGACGCCUUUGUCGUGCAUGCCUGGUACCUUUCACGGAGGUGUCAGAGGAGGUGUAGCCAAGCACUGCCUGUAAAUUUACGUAACAGUAUAAAAAAGAUUUGGAGGGACUUUUGGGGAGGGGGGGGGACUCGAUGUGUGAUGGAGGCUGGGGUCUAGUAUGUCCUGAGGCCCAUGAGGCUGCUGCUGCCUGAAAGAGAAAGAACGACAGCGGGGUGAGGCUGAAGAUCGUAAUGCUAAUGGAAACACUGGGAAUUACGUGGAAAACACUAACAGCCGUAAAAGUCACACCGAUUUUUUAAAAUCCCCACCCGAUCCAAUGCCAAGACCACACCCACAUUCAAUCUCGUGCUAAAAUUCUGGUGUAUUUGUUCAAAACAUUUCGCAAACCUCAAACAUGCACAGAUGAAAGUGGACACGGUGUCAGUACAGUUUGGCACUGCUUCCUUCAUUCAAGUGGAUGUCUUUGACUGAUGCUGUCUCUCAAAUUUGUAUUUUUUAUUUUUUAAAAAGGACUUUCACACCUUUUCCUGCAAAUCUACACUUUCAAAAUCCCCCCUCUCCCCUGCGGGGGCCCGCUACACGGGCGACGAGGUGCGAUCUACACCUUUUGUCCUCGCCUGUUGGGAUCAACGGUUGUGACGUUCCGAGACGUAGAACUCACCGACGGUGCGCUGCUCCAGCAGCUGGAGUUAGGUCGGUCCUCCUGGUUUCUAAUAGGACACGAGAGGCAAUCGGCAACGCCCGUCACAGCCGGCCACGGCCACCAUCACACAUCAGGAACCUGAGCACACAAAAGGAGACAGUUGGAAUAAACCUGCUGACGAUGUUUCACAGAGGAGUGAAUUUUGGUUUUAUUCCAACAAAACUGUAUGAUUUUUAAAUGUUCUCAAGCUCUUUUAUUACUGGUAUGACAAAGUUAAGCUGCAUUGAACAUACGUUUAUGUUUGAAGCUACAAAGUUACACGUUACUGUCGUCACAUUAUAUGUGACUGUCACACUGAUGUUCCUGAAUGUAAUGAUUAAAGUUGUUAAUCGCAUGAUUUUGUCACUUUCACUACACAAAUUCUCCAUUUAAUCGCACAAGAGAGAAAAAAAAUCAUAAAGAUAGAUAAACACAACUGUCUAACCUCAUGGAGCGAAGACAAAAGUGGCAGAGAGGUGGACAACUUUUGAAUGGUGGUGAUUGCAUGGUGGACAUUACUUAGAAUUUGUUGCACAAAGGGGAAAUCAUUUCUGACAGUAAAGGGACCCAUGCCCAGGAACAAGAUCCAUUCUUUCCGAUUGCCUGUAAAGGCAACACAUUAUUACAGAGCACGUAUCAAAAGACCCCUGGAUCCAGAGCGAUAAUUAAGCUGAUUGUACAGUGUGGUGCAAAAGUCUUGAGCCCCCCAUAAUUUCUCUAUAUUUUACGUCUGAGGAACCAGACUUUCUAGUCAUUUUUAAAGUGGUCUUGUGCAAUAGUUCUCCAAGCUUUCUGAAAGUAUUUCAAAGUUUUUCUUUGAACACCGGCUGCUGUUUCAC